Molecule: long non-coding RNA, 460 nt
Filed under: Linum usitatissimum (flax)
Lineage: Eukaryota; Viridiplantae; Streptophyta; Magnoliopsida; Malpighiales; Linaceae
Description: long non-coding RNA (LUSI_LNC004371)
Source: RNAcentral
GAAGGCCAAUGUUUCUUUUGAAACUAGCCGUCCUAAAAUCCUAGUUGAUCUUCUAGAAUUGAAGCUGGAAGCGAAGAGAUCGAAGAAAUAAAGCCCAUCAUUAAGAAUGUCGUUGAAUCACUUCAAUUCUUCAUGGGGAAGUAUGAAAUUGUGAACAAGAAAAAGGACAUGCUGUAUGAUUAAAUUUCAAAAAAUUGAAGGACUUAUGUCAGAUCAGGUAAUGAAGGCAGCAAUUACUAUCGUCAAAGACGCUGAUUUGCUGCGAUUGUCCUAAAUGUUCUUCCUGCACUUUGAUAAACUUGGCGACUAUUUGUCAAUCUUUUUCCAGUUUGCUAUCUGUUUUUUCUCGUGGUAUAAUUUGGUUUCGGAUUUGGACUCCUACUAAUUAUGUACUCCUUUGACUAAGUUUGGAUUGUUAUGAACUCCUUGAUAUGGACUUCUUUGUCUGAGUUUGAUCAAU